Molecule: small nucleolar RNA, 191 nt
Organism: Apodemus sylvaticus (European woodmouse)
Lineage: Eukaryota; Metazoa; Chordata; Mammalia; Rodentia; Muridae
Product: small nucleolar RNA SNORA73 family
Exons: 1
Source: RefSeq, a predicted model, not a curated record
CGAGUGUGGACACCCGGGGAGGUCACUCUCCCCAGGCUCUGUCCUGGUGGCUCAGGAGCACAGGGCGCCCACCGCCCAGUGAUGUGCGCUGGAGGUGGAGCUGGGCUUGAGUCUCACCUGUAUAUUCCUAGGACUUCCCAGAGCCCCGUGGACGGUGAUGACGGGGGAGACAAACCAGGCAGGAAACAGUC